GAUGAACGCUGGCGGCGUGCCUAAUACAUGCAAGUCGAGCGAACAGAUGAGGAGCUUGCUCCUCUGACGUUAGCGGCGGACGGGUGAGUAACACGUGGAUAACCUACAUAUAAGACUGGGAUAACUUCGGGAAACCGGGGCUAAUACCGGAUAAUAGAUUGAACCGCAUGGUUCAAUAGUGAAAGACGGUUUUGCUGUCACGUAUAGAUGGAACCGGGCCGCAUUAGCUAGGUGGUACGGUAACGGUUUACCAAGGCAACGAUGCGUAGCCGACCAGAGAGAUGGUUCGGCCCCGCUAGAAGUGGGAGACGGGCCAGACUCCGACGGGGACCAGCAGUAGGGACUCACGCGCAAUGGGAGAGAGGAUGACGGAGCAACGGGGGGUAGGUGAUGGAGGUAAUCGGGUCGUGAGGUUGUGUUAUUAGGGAAGAAGAAAUGUGUAAGUAGCUGAACACGUAUUGACGGUACCUGAUGAGAAAGCCACGGCUAACUACGUG
Molecule: ribosomal RNA, 497 nt
Filed under: uncultured bacterium
Lineage: Bacteria
Description: partial 16S ribosomal RNA
Rfam family: Bacterial small subunit ribosomal RNA
Source: RNAcentral